GACGAACGCUGGCGGCGUGCUUAACACAUGCAAGUCGAACGGAAAGGCCCUGCUUUUGUGGGGUGCUCGAGUGGCGAACGGGUGAGUAACACGUGAGUAACCUGCCCUUGACUUUGGGAUAACUUCAGGAAACUGGGGCUAAUACCGGAUAGGAGCUCCUGCUGCAUGGUGGGGGUUGGAAAGUUUCGGCGGUUGGGGAUGGACUCGCGGCUUAUCAGCUUGUUGGUGGGGUAGUGGCUUACCAAGGCUUUGACGGGUAGCCGGCCUGAGAGGGUGACCGGCCACAUUGGGGCUGAGAUACGGCCCAGACUCCUACGGGAGGCAGCAGUGGGGAAUAUUGCACAAUGGGCGGAAGCCUGAUGCAGCAACGCCGCGUGCGGGAUGACGGCCUUCGGGUUGUAAACCGCUUUCGCCUGUGACGAAGCGUGAGUGGCGGUAAUGGGUAAAGAAGCACCGGCUAACUACGUG
Molecule: ribosomal RNA, 468 nt
Filed under: uncultured bacterium
Lineage: Bacteria
Description: partial 16S ribosomal RNA
Rfam family: Bacterial small subunit ribosomal RNA
Source: RNAcentral